Molecule: ribosomal RNA, 429 nt
Filed under: Chloroflexota bacterium
Lineage: Bacteria; Bacillati; Chloroflexota
Description: Chloroflexi bacterium partial 16S ribosomal RNA
Rfam family: Bacterial small subunit ribosomal RNA
Source: RNAcentral
UGGGGAAUAUUGCACAAUGGGCGCAAGCCUGAUGCAGCCAUGCCGCGUGUGUGAAGAAGGCCUUCGGGUUGUAAAGCACUUUCAGCGGGGAGGAAGGCGAUAAGGUUAAUAACCUUGUCGAUUGACGUCACCCGCAGAAGAAGCACCGGCUAACUCCGUGCCAGCAGCCGCGGUAAUACGGAGGGUGCAAGCGUUAAUCGGAAUUACUGGGCGUAAAGCGCACGCAGGCGGUCUGUCAAGUCGGAUGUGAAAUCCCCGGGCUCAACCUGGGAACUGCAUUCGAAACUGGCAGGCUAGAGUCUUGUAGAGGGAGGUAGAAUUCCAUGUGUAGCGGUGAAAUGCGUAGAGAUGUGGAGGAAUACCGGUGGCGAAGGCGGCCCCCUGGACAAAGACUGACGCUCAGGUGCGAAAGCGUGGGGAGCAAACAGG